This 436-nucleotide ribosomal RNA is filed under the name uncultured bacterium. RNAcentral describes it as "partial 16S ribosomal RNA". It matches the Rfam family "Bacterial small subunit ribosomal RNA", at positions 29 to 507 of the family's 1533-position model. The record is from RNAcentral.
AGCGAACGCUGGCGGCAGGCUUAACACAUGCAAGUCGAGCGGGCAUCCUUGUGGUGUCAGCGGCAGACGGGUGAGUAACGCGUGGGAACGUGCCCUUCGGUUCGGAAUAACUCAGGGAAACUUGAGCUAAUACCGGAUACGCCCUUUUGGGGAAAGGUUUACUGCCGAAGGAUCGGCCCGCGUCUGAUUAGCUAGUUGGUGAGGUUACGGCUCACCAAGGCGACGAUCAGUAGCUGGUCUGAGAGGAUGAUCAGCCACACUGGGACUGAGACACGGCCCAGACUCCUACGGGAGGCAGCAGUGGGGAAUAUUGGACAAUGGGGGCAACCCUGAGCCAGCCAUGCCGCGUGAGUGAUGACAGCCUUAGGGUUGUAAAGCUCUUUUCUCCGGGACGAUAAUGACGGUACCGGAGGAAUAAGCCCCGGCUAACUUCGUG